UGUGCUAACCUUAAGUGUUCAGGUCGAUUA
RNAcentral lists this non-coding RNA (30 nucleotides) under Mus musculus (house mouse). The record is from RNAcentral. Lineage: Eukaryota; Metazoa; Chordata; Mammalia; Rodentia; Muridae.